CCGAAACUAAGUGAGCUACUUAAAAAUAGCUGUAGAGCUAACCCGUCCCUGUCGCAAAAGGGUGGGAUAAUUUUUAAGUAGCGGUGACAAACCUAUCGAACUUAGAGAUAGCUGGUUUUUUAAGAAAAGAAUUUUAGUUCAGCCCUAAGUCUUUCUGCUAAGCAAAAACUUAUUUUAGACUUAAGAGUUAUUCAAAUAAGGCACAGCUUAUUUGAAACAGGACACAACCUUAAACACAGGGUAAGAUAAAUUAAACCUCAUAAGUAGGCCUAAGAGCAGCCACCUUUUAAAAAGCGUCAAAGCUUACACUAACAAACUUUUUAAUCUCUACAACAACCUCAAACCCUUAUUCCCCAUUUAAAAACCCCAUAAAACUAUGGAAGCUAUAAUGCUAGAACAAGUAACAAGAAAAAGACUUUCUCCAAAAUGUAAGCUCAAGCCACAAUAGACAAACUACUGGCAAUUAACGUUUAUAAACCACCUAUAGCAACUCUAACAAGAAAACCCUAUACUUUUCAACGUUAAUCUUACACCAGAACAC
RNAcentral lists this ribosomal RNA (541 nucleotides) under Boophis liami. Its description in RNAcentral is "partial 16S ribosomal RNA". The stretch from base 1 to 115 matches the Rfam family "Bacterial large subunit ribosomal RNA", at positions 715 to 852 of the family's 2925-position model. The record is from RNAcentral. Lineage: Eukaryota; Metazoa; Chordata; Amphibia; Anura; Mantellidae.